AAACAAAAGGACACUUGAGUUAUUCGCCCUCAACCAAAACAUUUCAGAAUUCCCCUCCUUUUGAAAAUCGAACAUCCCUCUCUCUCCCUCCUUUUGAAAAUCGAAACCCUCAACUCUCUGAAUCUCCCUCCCAUUUGUUUCUUCUUAGUCUCUUAAACAAAUCUGUAAUUGGUCUCUAUGGUCGUCACCGAGCUCGCCGACAUAGGUCAUUGUUUGCGACCCAUCUUUAGCCCCUUGGUUGUCGUUGUCUCUGAGCUCUGCCUCCAAUCUCAUAUCUCUAUUACAUAUCUGAAGCACCAUCUCCUCUCGUGCCAUCCAGGUAAUGGAACUCACCGAGAUCGCCAUCUCCCUCACGCUGUCUAGGUCACCGAGCUCGCCCCAUCCAUCUCAUCGAGCUUGUCGAGCUCGCCAUCUCUCUAGUGGAUGAGAAGCGUGAGAAGAUGCUUCAAAUCUUUUACGACUCUCAAGAUUUCUUCCUUCUAAAGGAGCUUGAGAAGUCUGUCCCAAAGAAAGGUGUUAUUUCUCAAUCUGUGAAAGAUGUGAUCCAAAGUUUAGUGGAUGAUGACCUUGUUUUCAAAGACAAGAUAGGAACCUAUAUGGCGGACAGGUCAAUCGCAUACCCAGGCGGAAUUAUUGAAGAUGUUCUAGUAAAGGUUGAUACACUCAUAUUCCCAACAGAUUUUUUGGUUUUGGAUAUGGAAGAAGAUUCUGACACACAAUUAAUUUUGGGCCGUCCAUUCCUGAUUACUGGACGGACUCUGAUUGACGUGGAAGAAGGUUUAAUAACUGUGAGAGUUGGGAAUGAAAAAGCGACAUUCAAAGUUUUUGAACCAAUAACAUUUCACGGAAAAGCGGAGGAAAAGGAGACUCCGAGCCAUCCAUUGGUACAUGCCUCCACCUCAAAAGCUGACAAACCAAGGGUUGCCGAACCUGCCUUGUACUUGGAUGAACCAAAACCAUAUGACCCAGGAAGGAAUGAGUUAGAGGAACUUCAAAAUAAAUCAUAUGAGAGUGCGAGAAUUUACAAGGACCAUGCAAAGAAGUGGCAUGACAAGCAUAUCAAGAAUGAUCGUGACGGUACAACCUUCAAAAUCAAAGGCCAUCGAUUGAAACCACAUAUGGCAGCUGCAUUUCUUAAGGAUGAGACCAACGUCCUCCUCAAUAAUCCCAAAUAACGCAUCUGAAAGGCGGGCUAUUGACUCUAAACUAAGCGCUUGUUGGGAGGCAACCCAACUAGGUUUGUAUGUUGUGAAAACCAACUCAAUUUGCGUGCCAAGAAGUGUGCCACCCAAAGAUAAUAUGUUAGUGGCCAAUUAAAGAACUUCAACAUAUCCAUGAAGCAAUGAUGAUGAAGAAAGAAGUGCAACCAGCACAAGAAGAAAAGAAUUGAAAAGAAUGCAUGAAGUGUCACACCCAUUGAUAGGACCCGACCUAAAUUCCACUUUGGAAUCCGAGCCGAACCCUGUGCACCUGGCGGGUGCCGGGCACAAAUAACCAAAAUACCCUUCUAAACCAAAUCCAAAGAAUUUCAAGCUCGACUUCUGCCGAAAAUUUGACAGAGUCUCCCUUAUAAAAUGAACAUUUCCCCAAAAAGCUUUCACCUGUCAAACAAGCAUAUAUGAAUAUAACCCAACUGCCAGCAUGUAUCAAAUUAUAUCAAAAGUCAAGCAUCAUAUUAUUCUGGCCUCAGGCCUCAAUAAAUCAAAUAAAUCAUUCAGCUAAUAAAAUUCAUCUCAACUCUCAGAAUAUCAAUAA
Prunus avium (sweet cherry) is the source of this 1755-nucleotide RNA transcript. RefSeq lists it as uncharacterized. The record is from RefSeq and is a predicted model, not a curated record. NCBI's taxonomy places the organism in Eukaryota, Viridiplantae, Streptophyta, Magnoliopsida, Rosales, Rosaceae.